RNAcentral lists this ribosomal RNA (375 nucleotides) under uncultured organism. Its description in RNAcentral is "partial 16S ribosomal RNA". It matches the Rfam family "Bacterial small subunit ribosomal RNA", at positions 528 to 897 of the family's 1533-position model. The record is from RNAcentral.
GAACCACCAAACGUUAUUCGGAAUUACUGGGCUUAAAGGGUACGUAGGCGGCCCGGCAGGUGGGAGUGUGAAAUCCCUCGGGCUCAACCGAGGGAAUUGCGCCCCAAACCGCCGGGCUUGAGGGAGGCAGAGGUGAGCGGAACUGAUGGUGGAGCGGUGAAAUGCGUUGAUAUCAUCAGGAACACCAGUAGCGAAGGCGGCUCACUGGGUCUCUUCUGACGCUGAGGUACGAAAGCUAGGGGAGCGAACGGGAUUAGAUACCCCGGUAGUCCUAGCUGUAAACGUUGAGCACUGGAUCGAGGGGGCCUCCACACCCUCUCGGUCGUAGCGAAAGUGUUAAGUGCUCCGCCUGGGGAGUAUGGUCGCAAAGGCUGA